UGUAUUCUUGAUAAGGAUAUUAUCAGUGUUCGAUCCACUGAGGAAUUA
This 48-nucleotide transfer RNA is filed under the name Metarhizium anisopliae. Its description in RNAcentral is "partial trnI". Lineage: Eukaryota; Fungi; Ascomycota; Sordariomycetes; Hypocreales; Clavicipitaceae. RNAcentral also lists the same sequence under 10 other names. The record is from RNAcentral.